AUACGGAGGGUGCGAGCGUUAUCCGGAUUUAUUAGGUUUAAAGGGUGUGUAGGCGGGAGCCUAAGUCAGUGAUGAAAUCUCACAGCUUAACUGUGAAACUGCCAUUGAAACUGGGUUUCUUGAGUAUAGUUGAGGUAGGCGGAAUGUGUAAUGUAGCGGUGAAAUGCAUAGAUAUUACACAGAACACCGAUUGCGAAGGCAGCUUACUAAGCUAUUACUGACGCUGAUGCACGAAAGCGUGGGUAGCGAACAGGAUUAGAAACCCGGGUAGUCC
This 274-nucleotide ribosomal RNA is filed under the name uncultured bacterium. RNAcentral describes it as "partial 16S ribosomal RNA". It matches the Rfam family "Bacterial small subunit ribosomal RNA", at positions 523 to 796 of the family's 1533-position model. The record is from RNAcentral.